This is a non-coding RNA of Xyrichtys novacula (pearly razorfish), 3295 nucleotides long. The record is from the annotation of a GenBank genome assembly. Lineage: Eukaryota; Metazoa; Chordata; Actinopteri; Labriformes; Labridae.
AUGCAGUUUGGGAAGAGGAAUAAAAAUGAGUGUUCACACCGAGGCUGUUCCACUCAGACUCACUCCCUCCCUCCUCUGUCCGUGUGUGUGUGUGUGUGUGUGUGUGUGUAUGUGUGUGUGUCUUUUUCUAUGAAGUACAGUAAAUCUGUCAAACUGACCAAUAAUCCUUAAAGAGACUCUAAUCUGAGGUCUACCUGUUCUCAAAGACGUCACCUCCACCUGUCUGUCUGUGGACUUCCUGUAAAAUACACGUGUGUGAUGUCAACAGGUGGGUUUAAUCCUUAAUCUGAUGUAAACAGAUAAUCUUAAUCUGUAUUAUAACUAAACAGAUGAGUUUAUUCCUCAAUCAUUUAUCCAGACACAUAAAUUUAUUCUUUAAUCUAAUCCAGGUGAGUUUAAUCCUUAAUCUGAGACAAACAGGUGGGUUUAAAUCUUAAUCUGAUGUAAACAGGUAAUCUAAUCAGACAGGUGAGUUUAAUCCUUAAUCUAAUCCAGUUGAGUUUAAUCUUUAAACUAAUCUAGGUGAGUUUAAUCCUUAAUCUAAUCCAGUUGAGUAUAAUCUUUAACCUAAUCUAGGUGAGUUUAAUCCUUAAUCUAAUCUAGUUAUUCUUAAUCCGUAAUCCAAACAGGUCAGUUUGUUCACUCGUCCAGACUGUUUUUGUUCUAAUCUAUAAACGAGUUCAUUUCUGCCGUCUUUAACAUGGGGACUGACUCACAGCAGGACACAGCCUCUAGUGGACACUGAAGGAACUGCACCCACUAGGGUCAGUGUAUCUGAAUUUUAAUCAGAUUGAAAUUAGUGUAAAACUUAAUCUGUAUUAUUAUUUCAGACUUUCACACACAUGUAACUGCUCUCUGAAACUUUUUUUACACGAUUAAAGUUUAUGAUUUUCUCUUUUCUUUUAAACUAAAUAACUAAACUAACUAAAUACUCCUAACGCACAGAGCGUUAAUUCAUCCCAUUGCUACAGCAGAUUAAUCCCAGAUUAUCGGCCUCAGCCCACAGACAGUGACAUUCAUACGGAGCUCUAUGAAAAGGUCGGUGUUUUCAGAGUUAGUGUUGGACUGAAGCUGCAGCAGCAGAAACUGUAUUUCUCAUCAGUAAUUAUAUAUUAUCAUACAGACGGGCUCUUUGAUUUGAUCAGAGACGGCAGACACCCCCCCACACACACACACAUGCACACACACAUGCACACACACACACACACACACACACUCACCCCGAUACAGCGGUCAGAUUACCUCGAGUCAGUAAUUCCACUCGGAUAAUUCUCUCAUUAUCAUGAAGCCAGAAGGAAACUCACCUCUGAGGACAUUUUGCAUCGAAGCAGCCAAAUAAAAUACAUAUCAGCGGGUAGAUUUAGCAUUCGCCUCCGCUCGGAAUAAACGACCACUGAGACAAAUGCCAUGUUUACUGGGCCGCCGUGUGGACGACGACCGCCUGCAGGAGCCCGUCUCCAGCCCGCGUCCGCUCUGCGAUACAUAUUUAUGCAGAUUCCUCCAGCUGCACAGAAUAUUAUCCAUGACAUUAGUGUGAAUGACUCCUCUGUUCUGCAUGCAGAUGCAAGUUUUGAGUAAAUGUCAAAGCGGCCUCUGCUGUUGUGUAAUCCCCUUUAAUCGCUGCGUAAUGACCCAAUUAGUUCAGUUUGACUUCCAUCGAUGUUCGAGUCGACGGCGUCCUCUGACACUUCCUGUUUUGGGUUUAAUAGGGAGACUAAUGGGUUUCUCUGGCUGUGGUGAUGCAAACAUGACUUCAGGAGACAUUGAAAUUCUUGUGUUGUAAUAUAAUAAUUUAUAAAUGCAUAUACAGCCGGCUGUGAUCUGAAUAUGGAUGUUUUACCUCACGGCGGCUUUAUUAUUUCCUGGACAUCCACAAACACUCGAGGUCUCCUGAAUACUAAUCCAAGAUUUUCUCUGUUCGUUUGUUUUCCUGCAAUUUAAACAGAUCUACUUUUUUUCCUAUAAAACUAAAAAUAUCACCUGAAAACAAACCAACUCAACCCUGAAGUACACGAACUUACCCAGGGUUUACACCGCAGCGAUCUGGAACGGCAGCCAUUUUUGCCGUACGCCAAUUCCUACUGGAUCUGUUUCUGAGGUGAAUUUCGUGGUGGAUUAUGGACAGCAGGAACCAUGAGUCCAUGUUGUCUGUGAAGACUCCGUUAAUGCUGAACAAUAUCUGCAGGUUUAGGAGCAUCAGGACUCUGUAGUUGGAGUCACCGCCUCAUAAGGUUAAUAUCACCUCUCCGUGAACCGUCCUGAGGUGGUCCUCACAGACCUUGACUAUGAGGAUGUCAUGAGUCUGCUCUCCGACAACGUGGAACAAGCACAAGAACUACUGAACAGGGUAGAGCUAGAGUGCGCCAAGGUUGGCCUAAAUGCCAAGAAAACUGAGAUCAUCACCUACAACGUUCCACCAGAGCAUCAACCUCUGACUACAGAAGGGGGCGCUGUGCUGAAAGAAGUCGAGGACUUCCUGGGCUCAGGGGUCAACUCAACUGAACAAGAUCUAAACGUGAGGAAGGCACUUGCAUGGAGAGCCCUGAACGGUAUGACCGGUGUAUGGAACUCCAACCUCCCCCGCCAAAUCAAACUCAGACAGUAGAGUCCGUUCUCCUCUAUGGCAGUGAACGCUGGACCCUGAAGACAACCCUGGAGAAAUCCCUAGAUGGGUGCUACACCAGGAUGUUGCGUGCAGCGCUUAACAUCAGCAAGAACACACAUGUGACCAACAGAACACUGUACGAGGGAAUACCAAGGGUGAGCGAGAAGAUCGCUGUAAGGAGAAUGAGACGAGCAGGACACCGCCAAAGGCAUCGGGAACUGUGGGAACCAACACACGGUCAGCGGUCAAGAGGACGUCCUACACUAACAUACUUGGACAUACUCAAGAAGGACGCAGGAGCUCAGAGGACCAACGAACUGGUGAGAUGUAUGGAGAAUCGGGAUGACUGGAAGUGAAGAUGGAAGGCUCUUCUGAGGACGACCUAGAGAGAGAGAGAGAGAGAGAGAGAGAGAGAGAGAGACAGAGAGAGAGAGAGAGAGUCCUGAGGUCUGAUGGAUCAAAAUCUAACACUCUUUUGGAAAGGACUGGAAAUCAUAGAUGCUGCAUCCUUAGUUUUAAACAACAUCUCUAGGUUUAGGAGCAACAUCUGCGUCCAUCCGGACAAAGAUAUAUGUAUGUAGGAAGUUGAAUAAAAUCGGUCCUUGAACCGAGACAUGAGUUUGGUCUUGGACUCUAAAAUCCGUCGAGAACUGCCUCAAAAUUUCAAAACUUGACAGAAAUAAACUCCUC